GCCUGGGUGGCUCAGUCAGUUAAGCGUCUGACUUUUGCUCAGGUCAUGAUCUCACGGUCUGUGGGUUCAAGCCCCACACCGAGCU
This 85-nucleotide transfer RNA is filed under the name Felis catus (domestic cat). It matches the Rfam family "tRNA". From Rfam's summary of the family: Transfer RNA (tRNA) molecules are approximately 80 nucleotides in length. Their secondary structure includes four short double-helical elements and three loops (D, anti-codon, and T loops). Lineage: Eukaryota; Metazoa; Chordata; Mammalia; Carnivora; Felidae. The record is from Rfam by way of RNAcentral.